GGACUUCGGUCUGGCGGCGAGUGGCGAACGGGUGAGUAAAGUAUCGGAACGUGCCCAGUAGCGGGGGAUAACUACGCGAAAGCGUGGCUAAUACCGCAUACGCCCUAUGGGGGAAAGGCGGGGAUCCUUCGGGACCUGUCACUAUUGGAGCGGCCGAUAUCGGAUUAGCUGGUUGGUGGGGUAAUGGCCUACCAAGGCGACGAUCCGUAGCUGGUUUGAGAGGACGACCAGCCACACUGGGACUGAGACACGGCCCAGACUCCUACGGGAGGCAGCAGUGGGGAAUUUUGGACAAUGGGGGCAACCCUGAUCCAGCCAUCCCGCGUGUGCGAUGAAGGCCUUCGGGUUGUAAAGCACUUUUGGCAGGGAAGAAAUGGUUCUGGUUAAUAGCUGGAGCUGAUGACGGUACCUGCAGAAUAAGCACCGGCUAACUACGUGCCAGCAGCCGCGGUAAUACGUAGGGUGCGAGCGUUAAUCGGAAUUACUGGGCGUAAAGCGUGCGCAGGCGGUUCGGAAAGAGAGAUGUGAAAUCCCAGGGCUCAACCUUGGAACUGCAUUCUUAACUACCGGGCUAGAGUGUGUCAGAGGGGGGUGGAAUUCCGCGUGUAGCAGUGAAAUGCGUAGAGAUGCGGAGGAACACCGAUGGCGAAGGCAGCCCCCUGGGAUAACACUGACGCUCAUGCACGAAAGCGUGGGUAGCAAACAGGAUUAGAUACCCUGGUAGUCCACGCCCUAAACGAUGUCAACUAGCUGUUGGGG
Molecule: ribosomal RNA, 759 nt
Filed under: uncultured Burkholderiales bacterium
Lineage: Bacteria; Pseudomonadati; Pseudomonadota; Betaproteobacteria; Burkholderiales
Description: bacterial SSU rRNA
Rfam family: Bacterial small subunit ribosomal RNA
Source: RNAcentral